UGAGGUAGUGACAAGAAAUAACAAUACAAGGCAGUUAAAAUGCUUUGUAAUUGGAAUGAUAGAAAUUUAAACACUUUUUAAAGUAUCAAUUGGAGGGCAAGUCUGGUGCCAGCAGCCGCGGUAAUUCCAGCUCCAAUAGCGUAUAUUAAAAUUGUUGCAGUUAAAAAGCUCGUAGUUGAAUUUCUGCUUAAAAUAACCAGUCUGCUUUUAACAAAAGUGGUAUCUUGGUGUGUUUUUAGCAAUAAUGUCCUUUGAAAUGUGUUUUACUUUGUUGUAAAAGGCAAUAUUCAGGAUUUUUACUUUGAGAAAAUUAGAGUGUUUCUAGCAGGCUAAUGCUUUGAAUACUGCAGCAUGGAAUAAUAAAAUAGGAAUUUGGUUCUACAUUAUUGGUUUUAAGAGCUGAAUUAAUGAUUGAUAGGAACAGUUGGGGGCAUUUGUAUUUAACUGUCAGAGGUGAAAUUCUUAGAUUUGUUAAAGACAAACUACUGCGAAAGCAUUUGCCAAAGAUGUUUUCAUUAAUCAAGAACAAAAGUUAGGGGAUCGAAGAA
RNAcentral lists this ribosomal RNA (548 nucleotides) under Hepatozoon sp. LA81. Its description in RNAcentral is "bacterial SSU rRNA". It matches the Rfam family "Eukaryotic small subunit ribosomal RNA", at positions 460 to 1005 of the family's 1831-position model. Lineage: Eukaryota; Apicomplexa; Hepatozoidae. The record is from RNAcentral.